GGGGAGCAAACAGGAUUAGAUACCCUGGUUAGUCCACGCCGUAAACGAUGUCUACUAGCCGUUGGGGAACUUGAGUCCUUGGUGGCGCAGUUAACGCGAUAAGUAGACCGCCUGGGGAGUACGGCCGCAAGGUUAAAACUCAAAUGAAUUGACGGGGGCCCGCACAAGCGGUGGAGCAUGUGGUUUAAUUCGAUGCAACGCGAAGAACCUUACCAGGCCUUGACAUCCUUGGAAUUCUGCAGAGAUGCGGGAGUGCCUUCGGGAAUCAAGUGACAGCUGCUGCAUGGCUGUCGUCAGCUCGUGUCGUGAGAUGUUGGGUUAAGUCCCGUAACGAGCGCAACCCUUGUCCUUAGUUGCCAGCGAUUCGGUCGGGAACUCUAAGGAGACUGACGGUGACAAACCGUAGGAAGGUGGGGACGACGUCAAGUCAUCAUGGCCCUUACGGCCUGGGCUACACACGUGCUACAAUGGANCGCACAGAGGGCAGCGAACCCGCGAGGGUGAGCGAAUCCCACAAAACGUUUCGUAGUCCGGAUCGGAGUCUGCAACUCGACUCCGUGAAGUCGGAAUCGCUAGUAAUCGUGAUCAGAAUGUCACGGUGAUACGUUCCCGGCCCUUGACACACCGCCCGUCACACCAUGG
RNAcentral lists this ribosomal RNA (642 nucleotides) under uncultured organism. Its description in RNAcentral is "bacterial SSU rRNA". It matches the Rfam family "Bacterial small subunit ribosomal RNA", at positions 763 to 1407 of the family's 1533-position model. The record is from RNAcentral.